UACGUAGGGUGCAAGCGUUUGUCCGGAAUUAUUGGGCGUAAAGAGCUCGUAGGCGGUCUGUCACGUCGGCUGUGAAAUCCCGAGGCUCAACCUCGGGUCUGCAGUCGAUACGGGCAAACUAGAGUAUUGCAGGGGAGACUGGAAUUCCUGGUGUAGCGGUGAAAUGCGCAGAUAUCAGGAGGAACACCGGUGGCGAAGGCGGGUCUCUGGGCAAUAACUGACGCUGAGGAGCGAAAGCGUGGGGGAGCGAACAGG
This 255-nucleotide ribosomal RNA is filed under the name uncultured bacterium. RNAcentral describes it as "partial 16S ribosomal RNA". It matches the Rfam family "Bacterial small subunit ribosomal RNA", at positions 524 to 776 of the family's 1533-position model. The record is from RNAcentral.